Molecule: ribosomal RNA, 497 nt
Filed under: uncultured bacterium
Lineage: Bacteria
Description: partial 16S ribosomal RNA
Rfam family: Bacterial small subunit ribosomal RNA
Source: RNAcentral
GAUGAACGCUGGCGGCGUGCCUAAUACAUGCAAGUCGAGCGAACGGACGAGAAGCUUGCUUCUCUGAUGUUAGCGGCGGACGGGUGAGUAACACGUGGAUAACCUACCUAUAAGACUGGGAUAACUUCGGGAAACCGUAGAUAAUACCGGAUAAUAUUUUGAACCGCAUGGUUCAAAAGUGAAAGACGGUCUUGCUGUCACUUAUAGAUGGAUCCGCGCUGCAUUAGCUAGUUGGUAAGGUAACGGCUUACCAAGGCAACGAUGCAUAGCCGACCUGAGAGGGUGAUCGGCCACACUGGAACUGAGACACGGUCCAGACUCCUACGGGAGGCAGCAGUAGGGAAUCUUCCGCAAAGGGCGAAAGCCUGACGGAGCAAUGCCGCGUGAGUGAUGAAGGUCUUCGGAUCGUAAAACUCUGUUAUUAGGGAAGAACAUAUGUGUAAGUAACUGUGCACAUCUUGACGGUACCUAAUCAGAAAGCCACGGCUAACUACGUG